RNAcentral lists this transfer RNA (66 nucleotides) under Divia briandi. RNAcentral describes it as "tRNA-His". Lineage: Eukaryota; Metazoa; Mollusca; Gastropoda; Cycloneritida; Phenacolepadidae. The record is from RNAcentral.
GCUUAGUUAGUUUAAAUCAAAACACUAGAGUGUGGAUCUAGAAAUUAAACCCAGUUUAACUAGGCA